Molecule: unclassified non-coding RNA, 380 nt
Filed under: uncultured Alphaproteobacteria bacterium
Lineage: Bacteria; Pseudomonadati; Pseudomonadota; Alphaproteobacteria
Description: contains 16S-23S intergenic spacer region
Source: RNAcentral
UCCGGCUUAUCACCGGCAGUUUCUUUAGAGUGCCCAACUAAAUGGUAGCAACUAAAGACGAGGGUUGCGCUCGUUGCGGGGCUUAACCCAACAUCUCACGACACGAGCUGACGACAGCCAUGCAGCACCUGUCUCCGGUCCAGCCGAACUGAAAGGCUCCAUCUCUGGUGCCCGCGACCGGGAUGUCAAAGGUUGGUAAGGUUCUGCGCGUUGCUUCGAAUUGAACCACAUGCUCCACCGCUUGUGCGGGCCCCCGUCAAUUCCUUUGAGUUUCAUUCUUGCGAGCGUACUCCCCAGGUGGGAUGCUUAACGCGUUAGCUUAGGCACUGCCCCAAAGAACGGGGCAACACCGAGCAUCCAUCGUUUACAGCGUGGACUAC